This 325-nucleotide ribosomal RNA is filed under the name uncultured bacterium. RNAcentral describes it as "bacterial SSU rRNA". It matches the Rfam family "Bacterial small subunit ribosomal RNA", at positions 29 to 380 of the family's 1533-position model. The record is from RNAcentral.
AACGAACGCUGGCGGCAGGCCUAACACAUGCAAGUCGAACGCUGUAGCAAUACAGAGUGGCAGACGGGUGAGUAACGCGUGGGAACCUUCCCAGUGGUGCGGAAUAGCUCGAGGGAAACUUGAGGUAAUACCGCGUAAGCCCCUAGGGGGAAAGAUUUAUCGCCAUUGGAUGGGCCCGCGUCGGAUUAGCUUGUUGGUGGGUGAUGGCCUACCAAGGCGACGACGGGUAGCCGGCCUGGAGAGGGCGACCGGCCACACUGGGACUGAGACACGGCCCAGACUCCUACGGGAGGCAGCAGUGGGGAAUAUUGGACAAUGGGCGCAA